GAUGAAGAACGCAGCGAAAUGCGAUAAGUAGUGUGAAUUGCAGAAUUCAGUGAAUCAUCGAAUCUUUGAACGCACAUUGCGCCCCAUGGUAUUCCAUGGGGCAUGCCUGUUCGAGCGUCAUUUGUACCUUCAAGCUCUGCUUGGUGUUGGGUGUUUGUCUCGCCUCUGCGUGUAGACUCGCCUCAAAACAAUUGGCAGCCGGCGUAUUGAUUUCGGAGCGCAGUACAUCUCGCGCUUUGCACUCAUAACGACGACGUCCAAAAGUACAUUUUUACACUCUUGACCUCGGAUCAGGUAGGGAUACCCGCUGAACUUAAGCAUAUCAAUAAGCGGAGGA
Molecule: unclassified non-coding RNA, 337 nt
Filed under: soil metagenome
Description: partial contains 5.8S ribosomal RNA, internal transcribed spacer 2, and large subunit ribosomal RNA
Rfam family: 5.8S ribosomal RNA (bases 1-120)
Source: RNAcentral